GGGAGCUUGCUCCCUGGUGGCGAGCGGCGGACGGGUGAGUAAUGCAUAGGAAUCUGCCCGGUAGUGGGGGAUAACCUGGGGAAACCCAGGCUAAUACCGCAUACGUCCUACGGGAGAAAGCAGGGGCUCUUCGGACCUUGCGCUAUCGGAUGAGCCUAUGUCGGAUUAGCUGGUUGGUGAGGUAAUGGCUCACCAAGGCGACGAUCCGUAGCUGGUCUGAGAGGAUGAUCAGCCACACUGGGACUGAGACACGGCCCAGACUCCUACGGGAGGCAGCAGUGGGGAAUAUUGGACAAUGGGCGCAAGCCUGAUCCAGCCAUGCCGCGUGUGUGAAGAAGGCCCUCGGGUUGUAAAGCACUUUCAGCGAGGAAGAAGGCUUGGCGGCUAAUACCCGUCAAGAAGGACAUCACUCGCAGAAGAAGCACCGGCUAACUCCGUGCCAGCAGCCGCGGUAAUACGGAGGGUGCGAGCGUUAAUCGGAAUUACUGGGCGUAAAGCGCGCGUAGGUGGUUUGGCACGCCGGUUGUGAAAGCCCCGGGCUCAACCUGGGAACGGCAUCCGGAACGGCCAGACUAGAGUGCAGGAGAGGAAGGUAGAAUUCCCGGUGUAGCGGUGAAAUGCGUAGAGAUCGGGAGGAAUACCAGUGGCGAAGGCGGCCUUCUGGCCUGACACUGACACUGAGGUGCGAAAGCGUGGGUAGCAAACAGGAUUAGAUACCCUGGUAGUCCACGCCGUAAACGAUGUCGACUAGCCGUUGGGACCUUUAAGGACUUAGUGGCGCAGUUAACGCGAUAAGUCGACCGCCUGGGGAGUACGGCCGCAAGGUUAAAACUCAAAUGAAUUGACGGGGGCCCGCACAAGCGGUGGAGCAUGUGGGUUUAAUUCGAUGCAACGCGAAG
RNAcentral lists this ribosomal RNA (899 nucleotides) under gamma proteobacterium ST501. RNAcentral's name for it is "bacterial SSU rRNA". It matches the Rfam family "Bacterial small subunit ribosomal RNA", at positions 74 to 966 of the family's 1533-position model. The record is from RNAcentral. Lineage: Bacteria; Pseudomonadati; Pseudomonadota; Gammaproteobacteria.